Molecule: ribosomal RNA, 464 nt
Filed under: uncultured bacterium
Lineage: Bacteria
Description: partial 16S ribosomal RNA
Rfam family: Bacterial small subunit ribosomal RNA
Source: RNAcentral
CUACGGGGGGCUGCAGUGGGGAAUAUUGCACAGUGGGCGCAAGCCUGAUGCAGCCAUGCCGCGUGUAUGAAGAAGGCCUUCGGGUUGUAAAGUACUUUCAGCGGGGAGGAAGGGAGUAAAGUUAAUACCUUUGCUCAUUGACGUUACCCGCAGAAGAAGCACCGGCUAACUCCGUGCCAGCAGCCGCGGUAAUACGGAGGGUGCAAGCGUUAAUCGGAAUUACUGGGCGUAAAGCGCACGCAGGCGGUUUGUUAAGUCAGAUGUGAAAUCCCCGGGCUCAACCUGGGAACUGCAUCUGAUACUGGCAAGCUGGAGUCUCGUAGAGGGGGGUAGAAUUCCAGGUGUAGCGGUGGAAUGCGUAGAGAUCUGGAGGAAUACCGGUGGCGAAGGCGGCCCCCUGGACGAAGACUGACGCUCAGGUGCGAAAGCGUGGGGAGCAAACAGGAUUAGAUACCCUCGUAGUC